Molecule: ribosomal RNA, 484 nt
Filed under: uncultured bacterium
Lineage: Bacteria
Description: partial 16S ribosomal RNA
Rfam family: Bacterial small subunit ribosomal RNA
Source: RNAcentral
AUUGAACGCUGGCGGCAGGCCUAACACAUGCAAGUCGAGCGGAUGAAGGGAGCUUGCUCCUGGAUUCAGCGGCGGACGGGUGAGUAAUGCCUAGGAAUCUGCCUGGUAGUGGGGGAUAACGUCCGGAAACGGGCGCUAAUACCGCAUACGUCCUGAGGGAGAAAGUGGGGGAUCUUCGGACCUCACGCUAUCAGAUGAGCCUAGGUCGGAUUAGCUAGUUGGUGGGGUAAAGGCCUUCCAAGGCGACGAUCCGUAACUGGUCUGAGAGGAUGAUCAGUCACACUAGAACUGAGACACGGUCCAGACUCCUACGGGAGGCAGCAGUGGGGAAUAUUGGACAAUGGGCGAAAGCCUGAUCCAGCCAUGCCGCGUGUGUGAAGAAGGUCUUCGGAUUGUAAAGCACUUUAAGUUGGGAGGAAGGGCAGUAAGUUAAUACCUUGCUGUUUUGACGUUACCAACAGAAUAAGCACCGGCUAACUUCGUG